GACGAACGCUGGCGGCGUGCCUAACACAUGCAAGUCGAACGAGGUCCAUGCAGUGGCAACACUGCGGAAGACCUAGUGGCGAACGGGUGAGUAACACGUGAGGAACUUGCCCCGGAGACCGGGAUAACCCUCCGAAAGGAGAGCUAAUACCGGAUGUCUUCACCGAGUCGCAUGGCUUGGUGAAGAAAUGGAUUCCGCUCCGGGAGAGCCUCGCGGCCUAUCAGCUAGUGGUGGGGUAACGGCCCACCAAGGCAUCGACGGGUAGCUGGUCUGAGAGGACGAUCAGCCACACUGGGACUGAGACACGGCCCAGACUCCUACGGGAGGCAGCAGUGGGGAAUAUUGGACAAUGGGCGCAAGCCUGAUCCAGCGAUGCCGCGUGUGUGAAGAAGGCCUGCGGGUUGUAAAGCACUUUCAGUAGGGAAG
RNAcentral lists this ribosomal RNA (426 nucleotides) under uncultured bacterium. RNAcentral describes it as "bacterial SSU rRNA". It matches the Rfam family "Bacterial small subunit ribosomal RNA", at positions 28 to 447 of the family's 1533-position model. The record is from RNAcentral.